RNAcentral lists this transfer RNA (89 nucleotides) under Clostridia bacterium. RNAcentral describes it as "tRNA-Ser". It matches the Rfam family "tRNA". Rfam says of the family: Transfer RNA (tRNA) molecules are approximately 80 nucleotides in length. Their secondary structure includes four short double-helical elements and three loops (D, anti-codon, and T loops). Lineage: Bacteria; Bacillati; Bacillota; Clostridia. The record is from RNAcentral.
GGAGCGAUAUCGAAGUGGUCAUAACGGGGCUGAUUCGAAAUCAGUUUGAGCGCAAGCUCACGUGGGUUCGAAUCCCACUCGCUCCGCCA